RNAcentral lists this non-coding RNA (198 nucleotides) under Paenalicyclobacillus macrosporangiidus. RNAcentral describes it as "Alicyclobacillus macrosporangiidus 6S / SsrS RNA". It matches the Rfam family "6S / SsrS RNA". Rfam says of the family: E. coli 6S RNA was the first non coding RNA to be sequenced, but its function was unknown until recently. It consists of 184 nucleotides that fold into an extended hairpin structure with a large single-stranded internal bulge. The 6S RNA specifically associates with RNA polymerase holoenzyme containing the sigma70 specificity factor. The record is from Rfam by way of RNAcentral. Lineage: Bacteria; Bacillati; Bacillota; Bacilli; Caryophanales; Alicyclobacillaceae.
CGCUCCCUGCGCUGUUCGUGUGAGCCUAAUGCCGGUUAUUUGAGCCAACACCGACCGAAAAGGGAGCUCGGGGUCUCGUCGGCGCGCACACGCCUCAAGGGCGUCGCCCUUCGUGGACGUGCAAGUCCGAUGAGCAGGGCACCCACCUGCGAGAGAGCAGGUUCAAAACGGGGGCUUCACGGCAGAAGCGGGGUUUCC